UACGGGAGGCAGCGGUGGGGAAUAUUGCACAAUGGGCGCAAGCCUGAUGCAGCCAUGCCGCGUGUAUGAAGAAGGCCUUCGGGUUGUAAAGUACUUUCAGUCGUGAGGAAGGUGUUAAGGUUAAUAACCUUAGCAAUUGACGUUAGCGACAGAAGAAGCACCGGCUAACUCCGUGCCAGCAGCCGCGGUAAUACGGAGGGUGCGAGCGUUAAUCGGAAUUACUGGGCGUAAAGGGCACGCAGGCGGUUAAUUAAGUUGGAUGUGAAAUCCCCGGGCUUAACCUGGGAAUGGCAUUCAAGACUGGUUAGCUAGAGUCUUGUAGAGGGGGGUAGAAUUCCAUGUGUAGCGGUGAAAUGCGUAGAGAUGUGGAGGAAUACCGGUGGCGAAGGCGGCCCCUGGACAAAGACUGACGCUCAUGUGCGAAAGCGUGGGGAGCAAACAGGGAUUAGAUACC
RNAcentral lists this ribosomal RNA (454 nucleotides) under uncultured bacterium. RNAcentral describes it as "bacterial SSU rRNA". It matches the Rfam family "Bacterial small subunit ribosomal RNA", at positions 340 to 786 of the family's 1533-position model. The record is from RNAcentral.